AUGAACGCUGGCGGCGUGCUUCACACAUGCAAGUCGAACGGAAAGGCCCAAGCUUGCUUGGGUACUCGAGUGGCGAACGGGUGAGUAACACGUGGGUGAUCUGCCCUGCACUUCGGGAUAAGCCUGGGAAACUGGGUCUAAUACCGGAUAGGACGAUGGUUUGGAUGCCAUUGUGGAAAGUUUUUUCGGUGUGGGAUGAGCUCGCGGCCUAUCAGCUUGUUGGUGGGGUAAUGGCCUACCAAGGCGUCGACGGGUAGCCGGCCUGAGAGGGUGUACGGCCACAUUGGGACUGAGAUACGGCCCAGACUCCUACGGGGGGCAGCAGUGGGGAAUAUUGCACAAUGGGCGCAAGCCUGAUGCAGCGACGCCGCGUGGGGGAUGACGGCCUUCGGGUUGUAAACUCCUUUCGCUAGGGACGAAGCGUUUUUGUGACGGUACCUGGAGAAGAAGCACCGGCUAACUACGUG
Molecule: ribosomal RNA, 467 nt
Filed under: uncultured bacterium
Lineage: Bacteria
Description: partial 16S ribosomal RNA
Rfam family: Bacterial small subunit ribosomal RNA
Source: RNAcentral